CAUAGGUUAAUGAGGCGAACCGGGGGAACUGAAACAUCUAAGUACCCCGAGGAAAAGAAAUCAACCGAGAUUCCCCCAGUAGCGGCGAGCGAACGGGGAGCAGCCCAGAGCCUGAAUCAGUAUGUGUGUUAGUGGAAGCGUCUGGAAAGGCGCGCGAUACAGGGUGACAGCCCCGUACACAAAAAUGCACAUGCUGUGAGCUCGAUGAGUAGGGCGGGACACGUGGUAUCCUGUCUGAAUAUGGGGGGACCAUCCUCCAAGGCUAAAUACUCCUGACUGACCGAUAGUGAACCAGUACCGUGAGGGAAAGGCGAAAAGAACCCCGGCGAGGGGAGUGAAAAAGAACCUGAAACCGUGUACGUACAAGCAGUGGGAGCACGCUUAGGCGUGUGACUGCGUACCUUUUGUAUAAUGGGUCAGCGACUUAUAUUCUGUAGCAAGGUUAACCGAAUAGGGGAGCCGAAGGGAAACCGAGUCUUAACUGGGCGUUAAGUUGCAGGGUAUAGACCCGAAACCCGGUGAUCUAGCCAUGGGCAGGUUGAAGGUUGGGUAACACUAACUGGAGGACCGAACCGACUAAUGUUGAAAAAUUAGCGGAUGACUUGUGGCUGGGGGUGAAAGGCCAAUCAAACCGGGAGAUAGCUGGUUCUCCCCGAAAGCUAUUUAGGUAGCGCCUCGUGAAUUCAUCUCCGGGGGUAGAGCACUGUUUCGGCAAGGGGGUCAUCCCGACUUACCAACCCGAUGCAAACUGCGAAUACCGGAGAAUGUUAUCACGGGAGACACACGGCGGGUGCUAACGUCCGUCGUGAAGAGGGAAACAACCCAGACCGCCAGCUAAGGUCCCAAAGUCAUGGUUAAGUGGGAAACGAUGUGGGAAGGCCCAGACAGCCAGGAUGUUGGCUUAGAAGCAGCCAUCAUUUAAAGAAAGCGUAAUAGCUCACUGGUCGAGUCGGCCUGCGCGGAAGAUGUAACGGGGCUAAACCAUGCACCGAAGCUGCGGCAGCGACGCUGAUGCGUUGUUGGGUAGGGGAGCGUUCUGUAAGCCUGCGAAGGUGUGCUGUGAGGCAUGCUGGAGGUAUCAGAAGUGCGAAUGCUGACAUAAGUAACGAUAAAGCGGGUGAAAAGCCCGCUCGCCGGAAGACCAAGGGUUCCUGUCCAACGUUAAUCGGGGCAGGGUGAGUCGACCCCUAAGGCGAGGCCGAAAGGCGUAGUCGAUGGGAAACAGGUUAAUAUUCCUGUACUUGGUGUUACUGCGAAGGGGGGACGGAGAAGGCUAUGUUGGCCGGGCGACGGUUGUCCCGGUUUAAGCGUGUAGGCUGGUUUUCCAGGCAAAUCCGGAAAAUCAAGGCUGAGGCGUGAUGACGAGGCACUGCGGUGCUGAAGCAACAAAUGCCCUGCUUCCAGGAAAAGCCUCUAAGCAUCAGGUAACAUCAAAUCGUACCCCAAACCGACACAGGUGGUCAGGUAGAGAAUACCAAGGCGCUUGAGAGAACUCGGGUGAAGGAAC
This 1507-nucleotide ribosomal RNA is filed under the name Escherichia coli. RNAcentral's name for it is "partial 23S ribosomal RNA". It matches the Rfam family "Bacterial large subunit ribosomal RNA", at positions 165 to 1713 of the family's 2925-position model. The record is from RNAcentral. Lineage: Bacteria; Pseudomonadati; Pseudomonadota; Gammaproteobacteria; Enterobacterales; Enterobacteriaceae.